Molecule: ribosomal RNA, 415 nt
Filed under: Eucalyptolyma maideni
Lineage: Eukaryota; Metazoa; Arthropoda; Insecta; Hemiptera; Aphalaridae
Description: partial 16S ribosomal RNA
Rfam family: Archaeal large subunit ribosomal RNA
Source: RNAcentral
AAACAUGUUUGAAAGAAAAGUAUUUUUGAUUGAGCCUGCUCAAUGCUUAGUAAAUAGCUGCAGUAUUCUGACUGUACAAAGGUAGCAUAAUCAUUAGUCUUUUAAUUGGAGGCUGGUAUGAAAGGUUUGACGAAAAAUUUUUCUUUCUAUUGAAUUUUAAUUUUAAGUUAAAAAGCUUAAAUGUAUUAAUGGGACGAGAAGACCCUAUAGAAUUUAAAAUUAUAUAUUUUUUGUUGGGGUGACCUUUGUUAACACUUGUUGUUAUUACUUGUAAGUAAUUUUUGAUCCUUAUUUAGAUAAUAAGAAAAAAUUACCUUAGGGAUAACAGCAUAAUUUUUCUAAAAAGAUCUUAUUUUUAGAAAAGAUUAUGACCUCGAUGUUGAAUUAAUUUAUUGUAGGGGCAGGUUUUUACAAU